GGGCCUAUAGCUCAGUUGGUUAGAGCAACGGACUCAUAAUCCGUGGGUCGUAGGUUCAAGUCCUACUGGGCCCA
This 74-nucleotide transfer RNA is filed under the name Pleomorphochaeta sp. Its description in RNAcentral is "tRNA-Ile". It matches the Rfam family "tRNA". Rfam says of the family: Transfer RNA (tRNA) molecules are approximately 80 nucleotides in length. Their secondary structure includes four short double-helical elements and three loops (D, anti-codon, and T loops). Further hydrogen bonds mediate the characteristic L-shaped molecular structure. tRNAs have two regions of fundamental functional importance: the anti-codon, which is responsible for specific mRNA codon recognition, and the 3' end, to which the tRNAs corresponding amino acid is attached (by aminoacyl-tRNA synthetases). tRNAs cope with the degeneracy of the genetic code in two manners: having more than one tRNA (with a specific anti-codon) for a particular amino acid; and 'wobble' base-pairing, i.e. permitting non-standard base-pairing at the 3rd anti-codon position. RNAcentral also lists the same sequence under 2 other names. Lineage: Bacteria; Pseudomonadati; Spirochaetota; Spirochaetia; Spirochaetales; Sphaerochaetaceae. The record is from RNAcentral.